CGCGGUGAAUACGUUCCCGGACCUUGUACACACCGCCCGUCAAGCCAUGGAAGCUGGGUGUACCUAAAGUCGGUAACCGCAAGGAGCCGCCUAGGGUAAAACUAGUAACUGGGGCUAAGUCGUAACAAAGGGUACCC
RNAcentral lists this ribosomal RNA (137 nucleotides) under uncultured bacterium. RNAcentral's name for it is "partial 16S ribosomal RNA". It matches the Rfam family "Bacterial small subunit ribosomal RNA", at positions 1358 to 1501 of the family's 1533-position model. The record is from RNAcentral.